Molecule: long non-coding RNA, 587 nt
Organism: Gasterosteus aculeatus aculeatus (three-spined stickleback)
Lineage: Eukaryota; Metazoa; Chordata; Actinopteri; Perciformes; Gasterosteidae
Source: Ensembl
AGCAUCUGGACUCCCCAGGACCAUAGGCCAGGAUCCUGUUUGUGGACCUCAGCUCUGCUUUCAACACCAUCAUCUCGUCUCUGCUGCAGAAAAAAAUCUCUCCGCUGCACGUGCCCGACUCCACCUGCAAGUGGAUCACUGACUUCCUGUCUGACAGGAAACAGCACAUGGAGCUGAGCAAACAUGUCUCAGCCUCCCGGUCCAUCAGCACCGGUUCCCCCCAAGGCUGCGUUCUUUCCCUUCUGCCCUUCUCCCUGUACACCAACAGCUGCACCUCCUGUCCCCAUGACACCACCCUCAUUGGACUGAUCUCUGGUGGGUCCGCCUACAGUCUUCUAGGAACAUCAGAGGACCUGGGCCGUGCUGCUCCUCUGACCCCCUGUGCAACUUUACCGAAGGACAUCCUGAAGACAAACAAUGGCAGAGAACAAAGUUAGUCAGCGGUUCCCAAGCUCCCGUCUGCCGUCACACUCAACACGAACUAUAAUGCCAGGAUGGACAUGACACUAUGCUGACAGCUGAGCAUGUUCUAGAGCGGCGCCCUGCGGCAGACUUCUGUGUUCGGAGACAUGAGCCAUCUGUUUCAG